Molecule: ribosomal RNA, 1565 nt
Filed under: Microcaldota archaeon
Lineage: Archaea; Nanobdellati; Microcaldota
Description: bacterial SSU rRNA
Rfam family: Archaeal small subunit ribosomal RNA
Source: RNAcentral
CUGAAUUCCAGUUGAUCCUGCUGGAGGGUACUGCUACCGGAAUCCGACUAAGGCAUGCAAGUCUACGCCUGCACUUGUAGGCGUGGCAGACGGCUGAGUAACACGUGGUCAACCUCCCCUGAAGACGGGAAUAACCUCGGGAAACUGAGGGUAAUUCCCGAUAGGCCAUCAAUGCUGGAACGCUUGAUGGUUAAAAAGGAGGGCGAAUUGGAGCCUUUCCGCUUCAGGAUGGGACCGCGGGGGAUUAGGUUGUUGGCGGGGUAACGGCCCACCAAGCCGAUAAUCCCUAGGGGCCAUGGGAGUGGGAGCCCCCAGAGGGACACUGAGACAAGGGUCCCAGCCCUACGGGGUGCAGCAGCCGCGAAACCUCCGCAAUGCGCGCAAGCGUGACGGGGGGAUUCCGAGUGGUGUUGGCUCUUGCUAACACCUUUUGCCAAGUGUACAAACGCCAGAAUGGUGGUGCAAAGCUUGGCGAAUAAGGGUGUGGGCAAGACCGGUGGCAGCCGCCGCGGUAACACCGGCGCCUCAAGUGGUACCCACGAAUAUUGGGUCUAAAGCGCCCGUAGCCGGUCGUGCAAGUCCACUGUGAAAUGUUGGGGCUUAACUCCAACGCGUGCAGUGGAUACUGCACGACUUGGGAGCGGGGGAGGGUAGGGGUACGCCCGGGGUAGCGGUAAAAUGUGUUGAUCCUGGGCGGACCACCAGUGGCGAACCUUUUUUGGGAUGCCUAAAAAGGUUUCAUCCAAAAAAGCGCUAAGGCGCCUACCCAAAACGCGUCCGACGGUGAGGGGCGAAAGCUGGGGGAGCGAAGGGGAUUAGAUACCCCCGUAGUCCCAGCUGUAAAUGAUGCCAACUAGAUGCUACUGCAUCUUUGAGAUGCAGUAGUGCCGUAGCGAAGGCGUUAAGUUGGCCACCUGGGGAGUACGAUCGCAAGAUUGAAACUUAAAGGAAUUGGCGGGGGAGCACCACAAGGGGUGGAUGCUACGGUUCAAUCGGAUACAACGCCGAACACCUCACCAGAGGCGACGGCAGAAUGAAGGCCAGGCUGAAGACCUUGCCAGACAAGCCGAGAGGUGUUGCAUGGCCAUCGUCAGCUCGUGGUGUGAACUGUCCGGUUAAGUCCGGCAACGAGCGAGACCCAUGCCCUUAGUUGCUAACUCCAUCUCCGGAUGGGGUGCACUCUAAGGGGACUGCCCGCGUUAAGUGGGAGGAAGGAGUGGGCGACGGUAGGUCCGUAUGGCCCGAAUCCUCUGGGCUACACGCGGCAUACAAUGGGCGGCACAACGGGUUGCCACUCCGAAAGGAGGAGCUAAUCCCUGAAAACCGUCCCUUAGUUCAGAUCGAGGGCUGCAACUCGCCCUCGUGAAGCUGGAAUCCCUAGUAAUCGCGCUUCACUAUAGCGCGGUGAAUGCGUCCCUGCUCCUUGCACACACCGCCCGUCAAGUCACCCAAGUGUGGUUUCGGUGAGGCCCUCCUUUUUGGGAGGCUCGAACCGGGGCUACGCGAGGGGGGCUAAGUCGUAACAAGGUAUCCGUAGGGGAACCUGCGGAUAGAUCACCUCCAAA